Molecule: ribosomal RNA, 490 nt
Filed under: uncultured bacterium
Lineage: Bacteria
Description: partial 16S ribosomal RNA
Rfam family: Bacterial small subunit ribosomal RNA
Source: RNAcentral
AUUGAACGCUGGCGGCAGGCCUAACACAUGCAAGUCGAACGGUAACAGGAAACAGCUUGCUGUUUCGCUGACGAGUGGCGGACGGGUGAGUAAUGUCUGGGAAACUGCCUGAUGGAGGGGGAUAACUACUGGAAACGGUAGCUAAUACCGCAUAACGUCGCAAGACCAAAGAGGGGGACCCUCGGGCCUCUUGCCAUCGGAUGUGCCCAGAUGGGAUUAGCUUGUUGGUGGGGUAACGGCUCACCAAGGCGACGAUCCCUAGCUGGGCUGAGAGGAUGACCAGCCACACUGGAACUGAGACACGGUCCAGACUCCUACGGGAGGCAGCAGUGGGGAAUAUUGCACAAUGGGCGCAAGCCUGAUGCAGCCAUGCCGCGUGUAUGAAGAAGGCCUUCGGGUUGUAAAGUACUUUCAGCGGGGAGGAAGGGAGUAAAGUUAAUACCUUUGCUCAUUGACGUUACCCGCAGAAGAAGCACCGGCUAACUCCGUG